GAGAAGGACUGAGUGACUGCCGACGAUGGACGCUCAGGAUCCACUCCACAAACCCAACUCCAAUCCCAAUGCACCACCGCCAUCUUCCACCACCAACAACAACCACCACCACCCUCCUCAUCCUCCUCCGACCGCCGGCGCCAACUCCAAAUCCACCUCCAUCUUCAAUGCGCGCCCCUCGGCGCCUCACCCUGGCGGA
This 199-nucleotide long non-coding RNA is filed under the name Linum usitatissimum (flax). Its description in RNAcentral is "long non-coding RNA (LUSI_LNC000009)". The record is from RNAcentral. Lineage: Eukaryota; Viridiplantae; Streptophyta; Magnoliopsida; Malpighiales; Linaceae.